GACGAACGCUGGCGGCGUGCCUAAUACAUGCAAGUAGAACGCUGAAGGAGGAGCUUGCUCUUCUGGAUGAGUUGCGAACGGGUGAGUAACGCGUAGGUAACCUGCCUGGUAGCGGGGGAUAACUAUUGGAAACGAUAGCUAAUACCGCAUAAGAGUAGAUGUUGCAUGACAUUUACUUAAAAGGUGCAAUUGCAUCACUACCAGAUGGACCUGCGUUGUAUUAGCUAGUUGGUGGGGUAACGGCUUACCAAGGCGACGAUACAUAGCCGACCUGAGAGGGUGAUCGGCCACAAUGGGACUGAGACACGGCCCAGACCCCUACGGGAGGCAGCAGUAGGGAAUCUUCGGCAAUGGACGGAAGUCUGACCGAGCCACGCCGCGUGAGUGAAGAAGGUUUUCGGAUCGUAAAGCUCUGUUGUAAGAGAAGAACGAGUGUGAGAGUGGAAAGUUCACACUGUGACGGUAUCUUACCAGAAAGGGACGGCUAACUACGUG
RNAcentral lists this ribosomal RNA (495 nucleotides) under uncultured bacterium. RNAcentral's name for it is "partial 16S ribosomal RNA". It matches the Rfam family "Bacterial small subunit ribosomal RNA", at positions 28 to 507 of the family's 1533-position model. The record is from RNAcentral.